GGACGAACGCUGGCGGCGUGCUUAACACAUGCAAGUCGAACGGAAAGGCCCUGCUUGCAGGGUACUCGAGUGGCGAACGGGUGAGUAACACGUGGGUGAUCUGCCCUGCACUUCGGGAUAAGCCUGGGAAACUGGGUCUAAUACCGGAUAGGAGCCAUUUUUAGUGUGAUGGUUGGAAAGUUUUUUCGGUGUAGGAUGAGCUCGCGGCCUAUCAGCUUGUUGGUGGGUAAUGGCCUACCAAGGCGGCGACGGGUAGCCGGCCUGAGAGGGUGGACGGCCACAUUGGGACUGAGAUACGGCCCAGACUCCUACGGGAGGCAGCAGUGGGGAAUAUUGCACAAUGGGCGCAAGCCUGAUGCAGCGACGCCGCGUGGGGGAUGACGGCCUUCGGGUUGUAAACUCCUUUCGCUAGGGACGAAGCUUUUGUGACGGUACCUAGAUAAGAAGCACCGGCUAACUACGUG
Molecule: ribosomal RNA, 464 nt
Filed under: uncultured bacterium
Lineage: Bacteria
Description: partial 16S ribosomal RNA
Rfam family: Bacterial small subunit ribosomal RNA
Source: RNAcentral